ACGAAAUAAGGCGAGCUAAUUAAUUGUAAAUCUUAGUUUAUUGAAUGUUGCAUAAUUGAUAUAAACAUAUAAUUAGGGGUGAUAGGCUAAUCAAGUCUUAAGAUAACUUGCUGUUUAUUAAAUGUAUCAAGUACAAAGUCAAUUAAAGAGUGCUUAGAUUCUUUAAAAAUACUAAACUCAAAACUAUUUCGCGCCUAGCUAUAACUAGCGGACAUUACUUAACACAACAUAAAUUUUGAGAUGGUUGUAAAAUAUAAUAAACUAUUUAAAAUUAACUGAAAUAUAAAUAAUGUUAUUAUAAGUAAUCUAUCAAAUAUUUCUCAUGAACUCGGCAAUAAUUUUCUUCAACUGUUUAUCAAAAACAUAGCUUAUAGAAAAAAUUAUUAGUAUUUUCUGCUCCAUGAGACAUUAAAUUGCCGCAGUACUUUGACUGUGCUAAGGUAGCAUAAUCAAUUGGCUUGUAAUUUAAGUCUUGAAUGAACGAAAGCAUGAAAGAAAAACUUUAUUAGAAAUAUUAAACUAAAUUAUUUUGUAAGUGAAAAUACUUACAAAGAAAUAUUAGACGAGAAGACCCUAGAAAUUUUAAGAUUAUGCUAGAGACUCUUUUUGUUGGGGCAACAAUAUAACAAGUAAUUUAUAAUUAUUAACAAGAAACUAAUGGGUAGAUAAAAUUACUCUAGGGAUAACAGCGUAAUGUACAAACGUUUGCGACCUCGAUGUUGGAUUAGGAAAUAUAAGCUUAGAA
This 745-nucleotide ribosomal RNA is filed under the name Xanthomelon darwinense. RNAcentral's name for it is "partial 16S ribosomal RNA". Lineage: Eukaryota; Metazoa; Mollusca; Gastropoda; Stylommatophora; Camaenidae. The record is from RNAcentral.